This 746-nucleotide ribosomal RNA is filed under the name uncultured Bacilli bacterium. Its description in RNAcentral is "bacterial SSU rRNA". It matches the Rfam family "Bacterial small subunit ribosomal RNA", at positions 50 to 756 of the family's 1533-position model. Lineage: Bacteria; Bacillati; Bacillota; Bacilli. The record is from RNAcentral.
AAUACAUGCAAGUCGAGCGAGCUUGCCUAGAUGAAUUUGGUGCUUGCACCAAAUGAAACUAGAUACAAGCGAGCGGCGGACGGGUGAGUAACACGUGGGUAACCUGCCCAAGAGACUGGGAUAACACCUGGAAACAGAUGCUAAUACCGGAUAACAACACUAGACGCAUGUCUAGAGUUUAAAAGAUGGUUCUGCUAUCACUCUUGGAUGGACCUGCGGUGCAUUAGCUAGUUGGUAAGGUAACGGCUUACCAAGGCAAUGAUGCAUAGCCGAGUUGAGAGACUGAUCGGCCACAUUGGGACUGAGACACGGCCCAAACUCCUACGGGAGGCAGCAGUAGGGAAUCUUCCACAAUGGACGCAAGUCUGAUGGAGCAACGCCGCGUGAGUGAAGAAGGGUUUCGGCUCGUAAAGCUCUGUUGGUAGUGAAGAAAGAUAGAGGUAGUAACUGGCCUUUAUUUGACGGUAAUUACUUAGAAAGUCACGGCUAACUACGUGCCAGCAGCCGCGGUAAUACGUAGGUGGCAAGCGUUGUCCGGAUUUAUUGGGCGUAAAGCGAGUGCAGGCGGUUCAAUAAGUCUGAUGUGAAAGCCUUCGGCUCAACCGGAGAAUUGCAUCAGAAACUGUUGAACUUGAGCGCAGAAGAGGAGAGUGGAACUCCAUGUGUAGCGGUGGAAUGCGUAGAUAUAUGGAAGAACACCAGUGGCGAAGGCGGCUCUCUGGUCUGCAACUGACGCUGAGGCUCGA